This is a long non-coding RNA of Dermochelys coriacea (leatherback sea turtle), 1522 nucleotides long. RefSeq lists it as uncharacterized. The record is from RefSeq and is a predicted model, not a curated record. Lineage: Eukaryota; Metazoa; Chordata; Testudines; Dermochelyidae. The transcript has 3 exons.
UUUCAGUAAUCCCAUCACAGAGGGAAGGGAAACAACCACCCACAACCUGAGAGGCCAGGGCACCUCUUUGCUGAAAUUCCAGCAUCUUUCCCUCCUGUUUCAUAAAGGAUCAACAACAGCCAGGCAUAGUCAUUCCUAACAGCUCACUGGAUGGCAAGCAGGAAAAACAACCACAAAGCCAGAGCUUUAGAUCAGACUCAGCUCUGUCUCAAAAAGGCAUUGUUGAAAGGAUUAGAUGUUCAUAGUUUCUUUCUCCUGCAAACAGUUCAGUUUGUGUUUGCAAGACUCUGCUGUACUACCUGGUGGAAGGUACCUGAAUAUGGUGUUAGCUGAUAACACAGAGCAGUGACUAAUAAGGCCAUUAGACCAGAUUGUGUUUCACCUGCUGGAGAGGAAUGGUGCUUAGAAGUCUGUAAAAGUUGACUGAGAGAUUAUGUGCUUUUAAUUAUUAAGAAGUUAUAUAAAACUCCUCCCCAAAUCCAUUUAAUGUUCCUGUAAUCUAUCUUCUCAAACGUGACAAAUUCACCAGUCCACCUCUGGUCUCUGCUGAAGUUAUGGGGUGAGAAGUUUUGGCCCCGAGAGCUAUUUACGAGACAGGACUAUGGGGUUUAUUGCAGGGUGAAGCGUACUGAUGCAUUAUCCUCCCAGUUUAAUGGCAGUGUAGUAUUUUCUCAUGACCUUUUAAAAUGAAAUUGUUUGCUGCAGACAGUGGGAUGAUGGCUAUACCACCACAACCAAACAACAAAACCAGAGUUACGGGCUGAAGGGGCUUGGCUGAAAAAUAUUUGCUAUAAAAUGAGUAAGUACUUUGUCGUGUACUGAAAUGGGUGGCCUCUGUCAAUUGGAGGUGCAUGGCACCUGUACAGAUGCUGACACUGCUGUAAAUUCUCAGUCAUGCAGAUUCCUGGCCUCCUAAUGUUCCAUCUGAUGUUUGCUCCUCCUUCCGUUCCCACUACCUGGGAAGUCAGGAGACAUGGAUUUUACUCUGAAUAGGAGAAGACUUGGACUGAUCCUGGUCUCUGGCAGUCUGGUGUUCCAGAGUUUGUGACCCUCAGCUGAACAGGCCAGUCAGUUAGGCCCUGGGCUGUGUCAUCAGUCAUGAUUUGUUCAGUCAUAGCUCCUGUGCCAUGACAUGGUGGAAGAUGUGGUUCCUAAAGGCAAACUGGGCCCAUUAAGAACCUAAAAGGGCCAUACUGGUACCUUGAAAUGGACUGAUUAAUGAACAGGAAGCCAGUGCAGACUGCAAAGCACUGGUGUUACAUGUGAUUUUUGGCCCAUCCCACUUAAGAGAGAUGUUGCCCUGUGUUAUAGCUUCUCCACAGGCCUUUCCCUUCCAUCCCAGAUAGUGAUUUGCAGUAAAACCAACUUGGAGGUGCUGAAUGCAUGGAUCACUGGGGCCUAAUCUUCCUCUGAGAAGAAAGGACAAUGUCUUGUUUCUAGUCAAAGAUAGAAGAAGGUGAUUUUGAUGACUUGCUAGUUGGGUAUCCAAGAGCAACAAUGAGUCUAGCACAGAGGUGGACAA